AUACCCGAAAACAUUUUAAUUCGAGGUUAUGUAUUAUCAGUCAUUUAACUGUCAACUUCCCAAACAGUCCUUUUACAUACUGUAUAUUUGCUGGUUUAACAUUGUGCUAACGACAGCAGGUGACUGAUAAUGAUUUUGUAACAACCUUCAUCCACUGCCUAUCAAAGAUUUUGUAUUUUUCCCACCCAAACCAGCGUCAUUAUUUAAUAGGUCAGGUUUGCCUUUAUAAGCGUAGAAUAAGACCUCGGGUUGUACCAGUACACGUUUGUAACCCCUACUUCUGGUUGGUUCGCCCACAUACCUGUGGGACUUAAUACAUUUUCAAAUACUUUUGAAAAUAGCUAGCUAUGCUGUGUUGAAUGGCUCUUUAUACAUUUGAUUGAGCUAGAAAAAAUAAUUACGCUAUUCUGUUUAAAACUUUUAAAAACUUACUCAGGGAGGAAUUUCAAGUUGAGCAGUAUUGUGUGAUAUCAAAGCAGUAGAGACUUUGAAAAAACAAUAACAAUGUUGCCACUGACAAAAACAGUCUAUGUAGCUCCACAAACCUGCAGCAGUGUUAGCACCGGGGGCAGUGUUAGCACCGGGGGGCACCGGGGGCAGUGUGGGCACCGGGGGCAUUGUUAGCACCGGGGGUCACCGGGGGCAGUGGGGGCACCGGGGGCAGUGUGAGCACCGGGGGGCACCGGGGGCAGUGUGAGCACCGGGGGCACCGUGGGCAGUGUGAGCACCGGGGGCAGUGUGAGUACCGGGGGCAGUGUGAGUACCGGGGGCAGUGUGAGCACCGGGGGCAGUGUGAGUACCGCGGGCACCGGGGGCAGUGUGAGCACCGGGGGCAGCAGGACCACCUUAGGUCACUAAAAGACAAGGUUAAAAUGAGUUUCAUUUUACACAUAUUCACAUUGACAUAAUUUAGCAGACACUCUUAAACAGAGUGAAUAUCAAUAGUGAGUGCAUGUCUCCUAUAUCCAUGUGCUUUUAGAGAAAUCAUGUCUAGAUAAGAGGUUCUCCAAUUAGUUUGUGCUAUAUAAAAUACAUCUGUGUUUUUCUGAGAAAAAAUCC
Esox lucius (northern pike) is the source of this 1059-nucleotide long non-coding RNA. NCBI's taxonomy places the organism in Eukaryota, Metazoa, Chordata, Actinopteri, Esociformes, Esocidae. The record is from Ensembl.